UGCGUUUUUGGGCAAAAAACACAUGGAAUCUGCAUAUUACGUGGAUUUUGUGGCGUUUUCAAAAUCGCAGUAGAGAACCGUACGAAAAAUCUGCAGAACUCCUGGGGGGCAGGGAUGCCCCUCUGGUACUAUAGGGGAGAGGGUUCGGCUGGCUGAGACCAUGGGUGAAACUGCAGGAAAACAUCAUUCAAAUUUCUGCCCUAUCAACUUUCGAUGGUAGGAUAGGGGCCUACCAUGGUGGUGACGGGUGACGGAGAAUUAGGGUUCGAUUCCGGAGAGGGAGCCUAAGAAACGGCUACCACAUCCAAGGAAGGCAGCA
RNAcentral lists this ribosomal RNA (319 nucleotides) under Sorghum bicolor (sorghum). RNAcentral's name for it is "rRNA SSU_rRNA_eukarya". It matches the Rfam family "Eukaryotic small subunit ribosomal RNA", at positions 202 to 430 of the family's 1831-position model. Lineage: Eukaryota; Viridiplantae; Streptophyta; Magnoliopsida; Poales; Poaceae. The record is from RNAcentral.